RNAcentral lists this long non-coding RNA (870 nucleotides) under Trifolium pratense (red clover). Its description in RNAcentral is "long non-coding RNA (TPRA_LNC008346)". The record is from RNAcentral. Lineage: Eukaryota; Viridiplantae; Streptophyta; Magnoliopsida; Fabales; Fabaceae.
CUUCAAAAAGUGAGAGUGCAAUUCAGCUUCAAACACAUGACCAAACUUUCCUAUCAAUCUAUCUUCAUAAUCAAUAUUAGCAAACAUGUCAACAAGCAAAAACAUCAUACUCAAGAUCACUUUCAUCUACAAACAAUCAAUCAGGAACGCAAUGCAAUUCAUUCAACAUUUAUCCAUCAGGUUCAAAUCUCUCUCUUCACACAAUCUCACCAAAUUCUCUCAAGUGUUUAAGGGUUAAGAAUAUCACUCAAAUCGUAGAUCAUGCAUCCUCCUACCAUAGGCUUGAAAGAAUUCUAUACAGCAAUCACAAUAUAAUUAUGCAUACACUUUCAGAGGACUUUUUGGGUUAUAACGGGGCUUAGGUGAAGGUGGGAUAUUUUUGGAUAGUAGGCUAAAGACUUGGAGUUAGAUAGACUAUCUNNNNNNNNNNNNNNNNNNNNNNNNNNNNNNNNNNNNNNNNNUUGUUACAAUUCACACCAAAACCUUUAAUAAGAUAAAACUUGAGAGCUUAGAGAACUGUUGUCUAAUCACAACCUUUAGCACAAAAAUUUAAAUGCAUAUUUUUGGCUUUUUUUUUUCUUCCAAUUUUUCUUUCUUUCUUUCAAUUUUUUUCAAUUCUCUUUUUUUUCUUUUCUUUUUUCUCUUUCACAGUUCUUCAAUUUUUUGUGUUUGCUCUCUCUUUUCCCCAAAACCAUUCAUUCUUCUUUCAAUUGUCACCCCAAACUUAAAGGUUGCUAUCCCAUGAGCAACCCCAAACUUAAAAUUUUAUCAAGACUCCAUGAGAAAUCCCUAACUAACUCCAAGUAAGGAGGGUAUAUUUUUUUUUCCGGUCUUUGGCUUGUAAUGUGGCUCAGUAACACAAUAAAAGGG